GAAUCUGUUCGUUGGUCGGGCUUCACUGUCCGUACUGGCGUGAUGGGUUCUUACCUUCUGAAUAACCAGCAUGCCAUUCAUUUGGUGCGUUGGGGAAGCAGGACUAUUACCUUGAAAAAAUUAGAGUGCUCAAAGCAGGCUAGUGCCUGAAUACAUUAGCAUGGAAUAAUAAAAUAGGACGGCAUGGUUCUAUUUUGUUGGUUUCUAGGAUCACCGUA
Molecule: ribosomal RNA, 218 nt
Filed under: uncultured Acaulospora
Lineage: Eukaryota; Fungi; Glomeromycota; Glomeromycetes; Diversisporales; Acaulosporaceae
Description: partial small subunit ribosomal RNA
Rfam family: Eukaryotic small subunit ribosomal RNA (bases 48-218)
Source: RNAcentral